This 1477-nucleotide ribosomal RNA is filed under the name uncultured Bordetella sp. RNAcentral describes it as "partial 16S-23S ribosomal RNA intergenic spacer". It matches the Rfam family "Bacterial small subunit ribosomal RNA". Lineage: Bacteria; Pseudomonadati; Pseudomonadota; Betaproteobacteria; Burkholderiales; Alcaligenaceae. The record is from RNAcentral.
GGUUUGAUCCUGGCUCAGAUUGAACGCUGGCGGGAUGCUUUACACAUGCAAGUCGAACGGCAGCACGGACUUCGGUCUGGUGGCGAGUGGCGAACGGGAGUAAUGUAUCGGAACGUGCCUAGCAGGGGGAUAACUACGCGAAAGCGUAGCUAAUACCGCAUACGCCCUUCGGGGGAAAGCGGGGGACCUUUCGGGCCUCGCACUAUUAGAGCGGCCGAUAUCGGAUUAGCUAGUUGGUGGGGUAACGGCUCACCAAGGCGACGAUCCGUAGCUGGUUUGAGAGGACCAGCCACACUGGGACUGAGACACGGCCCAGACUUACGUGAGGCAGCAGUGGGGAAUUUUGGACAAUGGGGGAAACCCCUGAUCCAGCCAUCCCGCGUGUGCGAUGAAGGCCUUCGGGUUUGUAAAGCACUUUUGGCGGAGAAACGGCACGAGAUAAUACCCCGUGCAACUGACGGUACCUGCAGAAUAAGCACCGGCUAACUACGUGCCAGCAGCCGCGGUAAUACGUAGGGUGCAAGCGUUAAUCGGAAUUACUGGGCGUAAAGCGUGUGCAGGCGGUUCGAAAGAAAGAUGUGAAACUUGAGCUUAACUUUGGAACUGCAUUUUUAACUACCGAGCUAGAGUGUGUCAGGAGGGAGGUGGAAUUCCGCGUGUAGCAGUGAAAUGCGUAGAUAUGCGGAGGAACACCGAUGGCGAAGGCAGCCUCCUGGGAUAACACUGACGCUCAUGCACGAAAGCGUGGGAGCAAACAGGAUUAGAUACCCUGUAGUCCACGCCCUAAACGAUGUCAACUAGCUGUUGGGGCCUUCGGGCCUUGGUAGCAGCUAAUGCCAUGGUUGACUGCCUGGGGAGUACGGUCGCAAGAUUAAAACUCAAAAGGAAUUGACGGGGACUCCGCACAAGCGUGGAUGGAUGGAUUAAUUCGAUGCAACGCGAAAAACCUUACCUACCCUUGACAUGUCUGGAAUCCCCCGGGAAGAGAUUUGGGAAUGCUCGCAAGAGAACCGGAACACAGGUGCUGCAUGGCUGUCGUCAGCUCGUGUAUCGUGAGAUGUUGGGUUAAGUCCCGCAACGAGCGCAACCCUUGUCAUUAGUUGCUACGAAAGGGCACCUAAUGAGACUGCCGGUGACAAACCGAGGAAGGUGGGGAUGACGUCAAGUCCUCAUGGCCCUUAUGGGUAGGGCUUCACAUGUCAUACAAUGGUCGGGACAGAGGGUCGCCAACCCGCGAGGGGGAGCCAAUCCCAGAAACCCGAUCGUAGUCCGGAUCGCAGUCUGCAACUCGACUGCGUGAAGUCGGAAUCGCUAGUAAUCGCGGAUCAGCAUGUCGCGGUGAAUACGUUCCCGGGUCUUGUACGCACCGCCUGUCACACCAUGGGAGGUGGGUUUUACCAGAAGUAGUUAGCCUAACCGUAAGGAGGGCGAUUACCACGGUAGGAUUCAUGACUGGGGUGAAGUCGUAACAAGGUAG